Long non-coding RNA from Salvia miltiorrhiza (redroot sage), 487 nucleotides. RefSeq lists it as uncharacterized. NCBI's taxonomy places the organism in Eukaryota, Viridiplantae, Streptophyta, Magnoliopsida, Lamiales, Lamiaceae. The transcript has 2 exons. The record is from RefSeq and is a predicted model, not a curated record.
UUGAAUUUAUAAUUUUUAAGGGGAGUUCAUAAUGUUUGAGAGUGAAUUCAUAAUAGACUUAUUUUAUACCAUAAAUCUUAUUUAUAUACUAAUAAACACUCUUAUAUAUACAUAUAUCAAUUUAAAAUAUUUUAGAAUCUAGAUACAAGUUGGCCUGGGAAAAGAGAUGAAUCAGAAAUUCGGUGGCGGGAAGCAGCCGACGGGAACUCCAUCGUUGGCAUGGUCAUCCGUCGUCGUCGUGGCGUCGCUACUCGCCGGCGCUUCGAUUGUGCACAACAUUUACAAGCCUAAUCUGAAAAUCCCUCCAACGGAAGACGUCGAUGAGCAUAAGCAAGAAGAAGGCCAGAAGCUAUAAACCAUGCUUUCAAGAUUUGAUUUUUUUUAUGUGAGUUUCAGUAAGAAAUUUUCUUUGACGAUACCAUGACUGAAUGUGAUUGAUUUUUCAGCUAUUUCAUAGCAGAAACAAUUAAUGAAACGCUUAUGAUUA